This is a long non-coding RNA of Serinus canaria (Common canary), 4846 nucleotides long. RefSeq lists it as uncharacterized. The transcript is spliced from 3 exons. The record is from RefSeq and is a predicted model, not a curated record. NCBI's taxonomy places the organism in Eukaryota, Metazoa, Chordata, Aves, Passeriformes, Fringillidae.
UCACUGCACAGCAGAUGAUGGCAAGGAGAACACAGACACAACCAUCUGACCACAGAAUGCACAGCAAAGGUCAUCUAUGGCACUGGACAUCGUUCCCUGGAGUGCAUCUUUGUUUGAUUCCCAUGUAACACGAGAUUUUAUUUCGAAGAAGAAAGGGAGCCCCCACUAGCAGACCCAAUUCAGUCUGGAAUUUAAACAACUGCAGUUUAUGGAAAGCAGUGAUGAAAAAAGCAGCCACUGGAGUGUUCAGGGGACAGUGAUUUCUAGCCAUCUAGUCAGGGUCAGGAGAACAAAAUUAGAAAUAAAUGCUCAUUAAAAGUAAACUUUAAGGACAAGGCAGUUGCUGGGAACACAACUGAGAACAUGCAGACCAGGGACAAAGACCCAAGAAUUUUAACAAACAACAGCUUAGGGCACAUGCAAAUAUUGGCCAGACACACUUCUGAGCAUGCAACAUCUGAGAUUUACUUAACACUGAGCAUUAGCAGAUUAAUCCAUUUGGUACCCAGCAUCACCACUUUGGGAGGCACUCACUACCUGGGUGUUGGUUUAAACACCAACAGCAAACACUGCCAGGCCAGAGAACCAACACGACUCCUCAGCACACAACCACACAGGGCAGAAACCUUAGAAAACUGGCAAGUGUUUUCUAACACUCUGGAAGUAAAUGAUAAUUUUUUCAGAUUCUUUUCUUGUAAAACACCUCACAAAUAGAGGCCUUCUACACAACAGAGCCAUUGCCAUCAAGCUGUGCCCAAAGUUUUGGAGUCAGCAGGUCAGAAAAAGGGAGACAAUGGCUUAGUUGGUUCACGGAUCCUGGAGUUUCACACAUUCAAGGUCACUGCAAAGCAUGCAAUGUUCUUCUCAUAGCUCUCUCAGAACUAAGAAGCAGCUCUCCAGACAGACUAUUAAAAAUAAUUUCCAAGUUAGUUCCAGAAUACAUUUUAAUAAUUUACCCUACAUAGGAUACAACAGGUCAAAUAAACAGAAAAACAUCUUGUCUGCAACUACUAGAGAACCAAAAACUAAAAACCUAUGAAGUCACUUUCAGUCUGCUGAAAACAGGGUCAGACACUGUUUCUACAACCUACCUCUAUGGACAAAUUGCUUCACAGACUUUUUUAACUUUUCAAAGGAAAAUGAACAAGGCAAAAUCUUAUAUCCAAUUAUAGAGGUAACAGCUUGCAUCCCAUUUUAAUUGUUAACUUCCCAGUUACAACACCCUGGUAAAGGGACACAGUUUGUACAAUAUCCUGAGGAUAAAGAAAUCCAAACACUCUUAUAACAGAUUUUAGAACCCUACAGCAAGAAAAUCUUUCAGUCUGACAUGGAAAAACCAAAUCCCAAGUGUGGGAUGAACACGUGAGAGAACUGCAGCACACAUAAAAGCCCUCACUCACAGAGCUGGGUGCUCCCAGCCAACCUUUCCUGCUACAAACACAAACAGAAGGCAAAUUUUUGCCACUAUAAACUAAAGACUCAUGGAAAUCGAGUUUAAGGUAACAGGCAUACAGAGCUACAGCAAGGAGCACAUCCAAAAGCCAUCAUAAUAACUCACUUUCAAAGCCAAGAGUAAUUUAAAUAGAAAGUUGAAAGAAAGUCAUUAAAAACUCAUCUAAAAGGUAACUUUUAAGGUCCAUUAGCCAUUUAAACACCAAGCUUCACAGUUUACAUUUGCAGAAAAUCCUGCAAGCAGCUGAUGUGUUUGGUAUAUGCCAUUCCUAAACCAUCUGGACACCCAAAUAUGCCAACUGGCCAAAUGGGUUAUCACUUCUCUGGUCAGGACUGUGAACCUUAUAUAAAACUCCUUAUAGGAUAAUGCCUUCUACACAUUAAAAAAUACAUGUUCUAUUUGCAUUACACAGAUUCACAGGUGUGUUCUUAAUUUAUCUUCCCAUUUUCUAAACAUAAUUCUGAAUAGAGAAAAACUGAGUGGAAAUGACAAAUGAAUUGGCACACGUGCCACACAGUCCCAAUCUAAUCUGUAGACACAAUUACUACUAUAAAUGAAUAAAUGCUCAUGUGUCAACAUUAUAUUUUAAAUCAGUUUGGAGGACUACAAAUUCCUGUUACUGAGCAGCUGGUGCAAGUUAGAAGCCAGUUAAAUUAUGAGAUUAAUUUUACUUUCCUGUCAGUCAAAUAAAGAUGAAAUAUACAACUUAGGAGCAUUCCAUGCUAAAAUAACCUGUUCUCAAAAACUGAUUCUAAAUUUCUGUUUUAUAUAGAAUUUUGCAAUAUGGGAGUUUCAGAUUAAUUAUAAAUUAUCCACCAAGUUAAAAACUCAAAAAUAACAUUGUAUUUUCUGAAUAAUUUCCUUUUAGAACAUACUAUCUUCAUGUUUAUACAAAUCUAAUGGAAUUCCAACUAUCUUGUAAUAAAAUAAAUUUGAAUUAAAACUUUCUGGUGUAUUAUUUCCUUAACAUUUCUUAAAUCCUGGAUCAGACUGUUUCCAAGGCUCAGUUUUCCCUCUUCUGUUUGAAAGUAACAGAUCAAAGUAUUGACACAAUGAACUUCAGAAACUGUGUGCAAAGUUACAAUGCACAAAGUUAUCUUCUGCAUAGAGCAAUCUUCAGCAGAUUAGCAGAGAGAGGCAAAGGCUAAAGGCACACAGCCUGAACAGCAACUUAUCUCUUUCAAGUUAGUUGGGUCUUCACAAAACCACCAAGAUUUGUAUGUUUGGAGCAGCAGAUUCUGCAGGAUUUUUCAUAAACUAGGGCCAAAUACACAACUACUAAAAGUCCACUCAGAGGCAAACAACUACACCAUAACAUUGCUACUCUACUUAGCUAAUAAAUAUCAACUAUUUCAAGAAGUAAGUUGGAAGAACUCAGUUAUUUCAGACUACAUCAAUAGGUCCACAUCUUAACAUGCUAUUUAUUUUAACAGGAAAAAAAAGAAUUGGCUUAAAUGCUAAAUCAGCUCCUAAAUCAAGAAGACAUGAAGAUACCCAAGUUUUUGCAACGUGAAAAUCUAAGUACUACUCUUCUAACAGUACCCUUCAGAUGAAAAAAUACAUAGGUUAUGCGUAGGAAUCAUGAGGAUGAAGGGAUGCUGGCUUGGUUAGCUAGCAACCUUGCUGAACUAAAAUUUUUAGUAAUUAAAGUUAAGGAACUUAGAGGAGUACAAAGAGGACAUGACUGCUUCAGAGUUGGAAAUAAAAUCUGGUGAUGUGAAGACUACCCUCACACAACAACGACAUUAUCAUAGUUACUGAAAUGAUAAAUUUUACAUUACACACAUUUGACACCUGGUUCACAGCAAAACCAUUCUUUCAAGCAGAAAAACUUUUCAGGACUAUCAAGUGUAAAGCAGAAGUCCUUUAAAACACAUAUAAAGUUAUCCUAAACGUCCACUCCAGCUCUCCAGCUUUUUAUCUGCUGUCCAACUACACCAUCACAGGGUAACUCACCGUGACCGCCGCUCUCCCCAGGACAAAACCAGUAACUCACCCAACAACAGCUGCAAUUACUCUGCAUUAGCCGUACCAGUUACACCCUAAUUAGCGGCAGCCGGUUCGUCAGACGGUGCCCUCAGACAGGUGCCUCUUCUUCGGUUUCCAGCAGGUCGAGCAGCAGGGAACAUGACAGCUUUGGGGGAAAGGAAAGCCCUCGGCCAAGAGCAGAAGCUGGGAUCCACAGCUGCUGCCCCAGCCGGACCAGAAUGGCUGCAGUGUUACAGUUUCCUAACGGGGACGCUGUUUCAGAAGAUUUGGAAAACAAAAAUAGGCUCUUUGCACGGCCAGAACAGCUGCCCUGGCGUGCUGCUCCCUCGGCACCCUCGUGGGAAAUUCAAGUGUCUUCGAGAGGACCCUGCAAAUACAAACAUUUUCCAGUAUGAAUGACACACAAGGGGUAAGCAUGGAUUUGUGAUCCCGGCAGCAGCUUGGGUUCCAGAUCUGUUUGUGCCAGCCUGCAAACUGGGAUGUACUGGAGCUGCUGCUCAGCUCUGAAAUGGUGAAUCAUUCCUUAUUUUGUGAUCUCUCAGUGUUUUCCAAAAACCUGCAAAACGUGCCUCAGUGGAUAAGACAUUGAACUGCUCCAUGCACUGGUGGGAAGGAGCAAGGGGCUGGCUCAGCUCCUCUCCAUUCCUGGCUCAAUCUGCUCGGUCGUACCGUGGAUGACUCACUGGGGUCACAAGACCAAACUGCUCCUGGCUGCUCUGUUUCCUCUCAAAGGAGGUUUCAUUUUUAUUCAGGGUAGUUCUUCCUGAUUGUCCUUUAGGAGCAAGUUCAGGAUGCAUCAAAAGAAACCUUGAAAAUGCAUUAAAUAUAGGUGGUACCAGUUUAAUUAGGAUAAGUUUAAAUGUCUCCUGAAAUUCAACCAGUGCAUAUUUCUUCAAGAAAGUAGCCAGUGAAAAUACUGAAGGUCCAAAGGCGUGGUAGGGUGUAUGAGCAGGAGAUGGUGCAGUGCAUAAAUGGGAAAGUACAGUAGUGUUUAUGAAAAGCAGCAUUAAAUGUGCACAACAGAUCUAUACAUCAAAAACUUGCUUAGAAAAUGAGCAUUGCUUUAGUGGAUUGAGUGCUACAGCUAAAUAAAACUUGGAUUUUUAACAAAUGCUUCUACCUGGAAGUUUAAUUAAAACGUGGUAGAUAUUAAAAUUCAAUCUGCUAUUGUGCAAAUAUAAAGAAUAAUUAAUUGGGUUGGAAAAAUAGAAAUCUAUCCAGUAUUACUUUUGUAUGAGUCACAGACUUUAUUGACUUUAUCAGAGAAAAUUCCAUGCAGUCCUCACUUACUUGCCCUGCUCGUGAACUUUGUUUGCAUGCAACCAUCUCCAGAGUUUUCACAAGAGAAUGGAAAACUAGACAUAUGAUUCUGCAAUUAGCCCUGACCAUGGAGCAAAUUUUAGU